UCUCACAACCCUUCUUUGAGAUAAGGAAAGUGAGAGCCAGAGAGUGUGAGUAACUUAGGUCUGAGGUUACAUAACUAAUAAGCUCAGAUUUUUUGCUGCUUCCUACGAUACUCUCUCCAAAUUGCAGUUGAUCUCCACCAUUCUAGAGUUCCACCCAACCCCCAACUGCUUAAUCAUGGCCAACUGACACAAGACAAGCCCAAGACUGAACUCUGAUACAUCCAGUGCUGGCAGGUGGACACCAGGCAAGGCAACAUUCACCUCCAGAGAAAGAAUAAUUCUUUUCUCAGCUUGACUCAACUUAGCAUAGUUUGGCCUGCCUCGUAAUUGGAAUAGGUUCCCUAGCAGUGCUGAGCCAGAGGGCCACCACUCAAGAGAAGGAAGCUCUGAAGGUCUUGGAGCCUACAGAUUUGUGAGAUCUGGAGAGCUAUGUCAGGAUGGCAAGGAAAGAAAAAGCCACCAGAAAAGUAAAACUCAUGUUCUGUGGUUAAGAAAAGACAAGGGGCAGCAGAGAAGUUAAGAGUACAGACUUUGGAGCCAGGCAAAACUGGACUGGAGACUUACAUCAACCACUGACCAAGUCAACUCACCCAUAUUACUUAACCUGGGAAGCAAGAAUAUCAUCUGUGUUGGUGCAAACACCUUAAACAAGACCAGUGAGUGAUAUACAUGGAUAGGUUUUG
RNAcentral lists this long non-coding RNA (683 nucleotides) under Equus caballus (horse). RNAcentral's name for it is "lncRNA (ENSECAG00000058522.1)". Lineage: Eukaryota; Metazoa; Chordata; Mammalia; Perissodactyla; Equidae. The record is from RNAcentral.